This is an RNA transcript of Myotis myotis, 4082 nucleotides long. It is a transcript of the gene named coiled-coil domain containing 25, with no coding region annotated. The transcript has 10 exons. NCBI's taxonomy places the organism in Eukaryota, Metazoa, Chordata, Mammalia, Chiroptera, Vespertilionidae. The record is from RefSeq and is a predicted model, not a curated record.
CGCGACCCAACGUCCACCGGAAGUGCGCGCAGAGGCUCCAGGGAACCGGCGGCUUCGGCAUCUGGUAUCCGGAGCUUCGAGAACUGGGUGGUGCUGCUCCACGCUGGAGUCGCCGCGCCGCCGCGACCAUGGUGUUCUACUUCACCAGCAGCGUUAACUCAUCUGCUUACACUAUUUACAUGGGAAAGGAUAAAUAUGAAAAUGAGGAUCUAAUAAAGUAUGGCUGGCCUGAAGAUAUUUGGUUUCAUGUGGACAAACUCUCUUCGGCUCAUGUAUACCUUCGAUUACAUAAGGGGGAGAACAUAGAAGACAUUCCAAAGGACGUAUUGAUGGACUGUGCCCAACUUGUGAAGGCCAAUAGCAUUCAAGGCUGCAAGAUGAACAACGUUAAUGUGGUAUAUACACCAUGGUCUAACCUGAAGAAAACAGCUGACAUGGACGUGGGACAGAUAGGCUUUCACAGGCAGAAGGAUGUGAAAAUUGUGACAGUGGAGAAGAAAGUAAAUGAGAUCUUGAACCGAUUAGAAAAGACCAAAACGGAGCGGUUCCCAGACCUAGCAGCAGAGAAGGAAUGCAGAGACCGGGAGGAGAGGAAUGAGAAAAAAGCCCAAAUUCAGGAAAUGAAAAGGAGAGAAAAGGAAGAGAUGAAGAAGAAGAGGGAAAUGGACGAACUUAGGAGCUAUUCCUCAUUAAUGAAAGCUGAGAAUAUGUCUUCAAAUCAGAUGUAAUAGGAAUAAUAUCUUUAUUCCUAGAAGAACUAAAUUUAUGAAGCUUCUUUAUGAGUCAGAGAUGUGUCUGUAAAAUUUAUUCCUGAAAAAUUCCAGAGUAGCAUUAUGACGGCAAUGAUUCAGAUGAAUUCAUGUGAAUGGAGAGAUGGACCUUUUAAAGAUGUGAAUUUAGGGACAGUUGCAGAUGUUUUGAUGUCAUCCAUGUUCUGAGUUAUGAAAAACAACCUCAGUCUAUACAGAUAUCAACUUGGGAAUUUUUUUUUAAAAGGUAUUUCUUUUUUUGCUGACAGAAAAGGAUCAGAUAUGUACAUAUAUAUAUCAGAUAUAGUUGGACUUGAAGACAGUGUAUAACUUUAGGAAAGUGAAAAUAUUUGUGCCCGAACAUGUCUUGGUAGCUCACGAAAGUUGGCUGCCCUUUUUCUUGGGAUAGACUUUAGAACGAACCAACUCUGAAAAGUAUUUCUGGUACUGUGGUUAAUCCCUGAAAACAGAUGUCUUGAAAAGCUUUUUAUAUUCUUAAAAUAGCUUCACUUCUAUUAAGGAGAAUGUAUUGGUGAGCAAUAUAUAGGAAUGUUCCUCUCACCGUCGAAUUCCUGAUUAGAAAAAGAUGAUAGUGAGUUUUGAAGAUGAUAGUGAUAUUUUUAUUCAUGUUCCAUUGUGUUGUCUGAGUCAAAUAGCAGAGUUGUCCUCAGCAAUCAGCUUGCCCUAGCUUCCACUUUCUGCAUCCUCAUUGUUUGAGUGAGGGCCUCCUUCUAGGUACCAUCAGACUUAAAGAAAUAUUUGGUGUUAAUCCAGGUUGGCCUUGUGUGGCAGUUUUUACCUGAGCACCAACUAACCCAGGCCUCAGAGAUUACAGCUUCCAGGCCCUGGAGUCAUGUCUCAGAAAUCUAAGGGAGGCUCUAUGAAUCAAUGUAGGUUACCUGAUUUUUGUCUUGGAAUACAGCAUAAAGCAAAAAGUCCAUGUUGUAAUUAUGUUUUUAAAAAGAAUUAAGCAUUUCACUAGCCAGCCAAAUAAUUUGUUUAUUUACCCUGAAAUAAUAUUUAUUUUGAAUUGUAACCCCAGAGUUCAGAUUUCUCCAUUGUAGACUCAGUAACUUAUUAUGUAACAGGACUGCUCAUUCAAACCACCUGCUUUCCAGUGUGAUUCUGAAUAGAAGAUAUAUUUUUAUUGAAGUGUGUAAGAGAACCCCAGCAGAAAGAAACAAAAGAACAAAGCCUGCAGGCCAGGAGGCAUACGGAUUCACAUUUUAACCACACCCAGAACUGUACGUGUAGCAUUCUUAUUCUUGUUCUAACCCAGCAGCAGUGACCUCCAUCAGAUCUAUCUGUAAUAGCACCUUGGGACUGUGGCUAAAACCAGAAGGCUCCAGUGUUUCUAUGUAUCUCAAGUUGGGGUGUGGGGAUGAACUGGAAAACUCCCGGAGGCAUAAGUUGGCCAAAUUUUGAGACAGAGUAUGGGAGACAAUUCCAGAAAUUAAUUGUGUGUGUGUUUGUCUAAUGAUAUUCAGCCUGGAGUUCUGUGAUUUAAAUAUAUAAUAAUAAAGAAUAUUUUUUUAAUUUGGAAAGACAUUGUUAGAAUUUGCUUGUAAUUCCUAUCCUUAAGAUGGUUUUGGAGAGCCUCUGGCUAUAAAAACAAAACAAAAAAGUUAUCUAUCAUAGGUUCAAUCUGGCUGGUUCUACGAGGGUAUCUUCUCUCACUGAUAGAUGCAUCUCUCCCCAGAGGCCCACUGGGUCAAAGUGGAUGACCUUUCCCAGACACACUGUUGAUUGGGUGUAGGUCAAGCAUGUCAGACUACGGCCCGCAGGCCGCAUGCCUUGUUUAUUUGGCUCGUGUUCGCCUUUGAGUUUGACAUGCUUGUGUAGGUAGUACCUGUGCUGUCCUGCCUGGUUCCUGGAGCCACUUCUUUAACACUCUGCUGCAACCUCGAAAAGGGGAGAUUUUGCCUCCAGCGUCACCUGUGUCACCUCAACUUCCUACUGCUUCUGAAGGACUCCUCUGGACCCCACAUCACAGCAUAUGUAGAGCUUUUGGAAACCACAUGUAUUUUUGCAGUAGUUUAAGCGACCCGAGGGUCCACAUUUUAAAUGUUCUGUAACUCAGCUUUUAGGUGUCAGGGGCCUCUCUGCUGAAUCUCUGAGUUCGAAGCUCCAGCCUUUUCAGCUGCUCUGUGCUGAUUUCCUCCGGCCGCGGCCUCUGCCUGUGAGCUGGGGAGUUUUCCCUCAGGUCUCGGUCCCAGAGAAAGCAGGGAUCUUUUCUUUUGAGAACAUUGGUUCAGUGUCAACAGGUCAGACUCUUGGCACUGAAGUCAUUUAAUUUCUUGCUGUUGGCAUGUUUCCGUAACUUCCUAUCGGAAAAUUCCAAAUUAGUGGUAUUUUAUAAGUUGUGCCCUUGAUCACAUUUGUACAUCCUGAGGAUUUCUCUUUCCAGCUGUCUCCAGUUUCUGUAUUCUGUUACAUCUGCAUGCAGGUGAGGUUCACUUUGUCAUUUAUUUCACAAACUGCUCUGUUAUAUUCCUGUAGCUUUAGAAUUCGUUUCUUAUACGCCUUUGUGGAUCUAGAUCACAGUCUUUGGGCAAGAGAGCUUUGUCAUAGUGCUCGGGCCGUUUACCAACAUGGAAGGUCUGUGUGUUAGCAGGCAGCCAUAGGCUGUAGUCGAACCCUUGCAAUAUCUUCUGUUAUAUUGUUUUAACUUUUUGAAGCAUGGGUUUGGUGAGCCUUUUUUUUUUUUUACUGUUUAGUGCCAAUGGUUUUCCCCACUCAGGAAGGAAGGGGGGCCACGCAUACAGCAAGAUGAGAAAGGGAGAGUUCCACUGUGGCCUCCAGUUUAAAAACAGCUCUUCCUCCCAUGGUCCCAUCUGUCCGAGAGGGGACGCUCGUUUUCCAGGCUGGAACAGGUUAUGGGAAAAACUGAGCAGGACGGAGAAAUGAACACUUGCCCAGCCUUCCUGAGCUGUGAGAUUGAAGCCUUCUCUUUCUGUUUGGUUGGAAGCGCGUGUGCACUGCGUGUGACAAUCCCAUACUCAGAAUGGUCUUAGAAGAAUGAGCACAUGACCUUUUGAUUUUAAAGUAGAUUGUGAAGCAUUCAAACUGUAAGAGAAAAAUUAAAAACUUAAAGUCCAAGCUAAAUGGAUGUGAAGGCGCAGAAACGAGGAUAGCACUGCUGGCUCCCGACAGGCUCACAUUCCAGCGUCACGAAGUGGGAGCUCUUCUCUGCCGGACACGUGGGCCUCACCUGGAGCAAGAGACUUGAUGUGCAUUGUGUCAUUUCACAAGUGAGAUGGUGCCACCUGCCUAUUUACCAUGUCCUGGAUGAGUGAUAUGUAAAAUGCAAUAAAGCUUAUAGUUUGAGUAGAA